UGAAUAUCUGUAUUGAACCUCCUUCCUUUCAGAAACUUGAGUCCCAUUGUCAUCAGUAUUGCUCUAUAUUAUCUUUAUUUAAGUACAAUAAUCAUGUGUAUAUCAAGAAUAGGAAGGAAAAAGGGUAUAUUUUUCCUAGGUUCCAUUUUUAGAGACACUAACCCUGACUUUGGUUUUACUUUUCAAUGUUACAUUUGUAUUGAGAACUUAAUAUAAAGAAAUAAGGCAAGUAUCUAUGAUGUACAUUCUGCUAAUACCAUCAAUGUUGGAUCAGUAAGUUGCUGUUACUCUCAACAAAUACAUGUUCAAAAAUGGUUGGUCAAGAAUAAGUGGAAAAUUUAGUCAGGUAAUAGGUCUGAAAUACUGGUGAUGUUUUGAAAUAGCUAUUUGAAAUUCACCAUUCUGGUUUCCUAAAGCAGUCAUAUAUAAAAGAUAUAUGUUUAGGGCUGGCCUGGU
Ceratotherium simum simum (southern white rhinoceros) is the source of this 456-nucleotide non-coding RNA. NCBI's taxonomy places the organism in Eukaryota, Metazoa, Chordata, Mammalia, Perissodactyla, Rhinocerotidae. The record is from RefSeq and is a predicted model, not a curated record.